GACGAACGCUGGCGGCGUGCUUAACACAUGCAAGUCGAACGGAAAGGCCCUGCUUUUGUGGGGUGCUCGAGUGGCGAACGGGUGAGUAACACGUGAGUAACCUGCCCUUGACUUUGGGAUAACUUCAGGAAACUGGGGCUAAUACCGGAUAGGAGCUCCUGCUGCAUGGUGGGGGUUGGAAAGUUUCGGCGGUUGGGGAUGGACUCGCGGCUUAUCAGCUUGUUGGUGGGGUAGUGGCUUACCAAGGAUUUGACGGGUAGCCGGCCUGAGAGGGUGACCGGCCACAUAGGGACUGAGAUACGGCCCAGACUCCAACGGGAGGAAGCAGUGGGGAAUAUAGCACAAUGGGCGGAAGCCUGAUGCAGCAACGCCGCGUGCGGGAUGACGGCCUUCGGGUUGUAAACCGCUUUCGCCUGUGACGAAGCGUGAGUGACGGUAAUGGGUAAAGAAGCACCGGCCAACUACGG
RNAcentral lists this ribosomal RNA (467 nucleotides) under uncultured bacterium. RNAcentral's name for it is "partial 16S ribosomal RNA". It matches the Rfam family "Bacterial small subunit ribosomal RNA", at positions 28 to 506 of the family's 1533-position model. The record is from RNAcentral.